This 274-nucleotide ribosomal RNA is filed under the name uncultured bacterium. Its description in RNAcentral is "partial 16S ribosomal RNA". It matches the Rfam family "Bacterial small subunit ribosomal RNA", at positions 523 to 796 of the family's 1533-position model. The record is from RNAcentral.
AUACGGAGGGUGCAAGCGUUGUCCGGAUUUAUUGGGUUUAAAGGGUGCGUAGGUGGUUUUUUAAGUCAGUGGUGAAAGCCUACAGCUUAACUGUAGAGGUGCCAUUGAUACUGGGGAACUUGAGUAUGGACGAGGUAGGCGGAAUUUGUGGUGUAGCGGUGAAAUGCAUAGAUACCACAAGGAACACCGAUAGCGAAGGCAGCUUACUGGGGCAUAACUGACACUGAGGCACGAAAGCGUGGGGAGCGAACAGGAUUAGAUACCCUAGUAGUCC